GUCUACAGCCUUACCACCCUGAACGUGCCCGAUCUUGUCUGAUCUUGGAAGCUAAGCAGGGUCGGACCUGGUUAGUACUUGGAUGGGAAACCCUGGCUCUUACACCUUGCAGUACUUAGUGCUGUGCUCC
RNAcentral lists this ribosomal RNA (130 nucleotides) under Chinchilla lanigera (long-tailed chinchilla). The record is from RNAcentral. Lineage: Eukaryota; Metazoa; Chordata; Mammalia; Rodentia; Chinchillidae.